This 1805-nucleotide ribosomal RNA is filed under the name marine metagenome. RNAcentral describes it as "bacterial LSU rRNA". It matches the Rfam family "Bacterial large subunit ribosomal RNA", at positions 360 to 1986 of the family's 2925-position model. The record is from RNAcentral.
GUGUAUAAGAGCGAAAACAUGUUCUCUGUUGUGACGGUGUCCCCGAGUAGCAGCGGGCCCGUGGAAUCUGCUGUGAAUCUGCCGGGACCACCCGGUAAGCCUGAAUACUUCUCAGUGACCGAUAGCGGAUUAGUACCGUGAGGGAAUGGUGAAAAGUACCCCGGGAGGGGAGUGAAAUAGUACCUGAAACCGUGCGCUUACAAUCCGUCAGAGCCCUCCUUCGUGGUGGGGUGAUGGCGUGCCUUUUGAAGAAUGAGCCUGCGAGUCAGGGACAUGUCGCGAGGUUAACCCGUGUGGGGUAGCCGUAGCGAAAGCGAGUCUGAAUAGGGCGUAUCCGAUCCGUAGGGGUUGGUGUAGUGGUGUGUUCUGGACCCGAAGCGGAGUGAUCUACCCAUGGCCAGGGUGAAGCAGCAGUAAGAUGUUGUGGAGGCCCGAACCCACUUAGGUUGAAGACUGAGGGGAUGAGCUGUGGGUAGGGGUGAAAGGCCAAUCAAACUCCGUGAUAGCUGGUUCUCCCCGAAAUGCAUUUAGGUGCAGCGUCGCAGUGUUCGUGUCGGAGGUAGAGCUACUGGAUGGCCGAUGGGCCUCACAAGGUUACUGACGUCAGCCAAACUCCGAAUGCCGACACGGUGUAAUGCGGCAGUGAGACGGCGGGGGAUAAGCUCCGUGCGUCGAGAGGGAAACAGCCCAGAUCGCCGGCUAAGGCCCCUAAGCGUGUGCUAAGUGGAAAAGGAUGUGCAGUCGCAGAGACAACCAGGAGGUUGGCUUAGAAGCAGCCACCCUUGAAAGAGUGCGUAAUAGCUCACUGGUCAAGUGAUCCUGCGCCGACAAUGUAGCGGGGCUCAAGUACACCACCGAAGCUGCGGCAUUCAUACGAUAGCCCGCUGUGUUCCUACGGGGAUGCAGCCAGGUGUGUGGAUGGGUAGGGGAGCGUCGUGCAGCCGUGGAAGCAUCGGAGUGAUCCAGGUGUGGAGGCUGUGCGAGUGAGAAUGCAGGCAUGAGUAGCGAAAGACGAGUGAGAAACUCGUCCGCCGAAUGACCAAGGGUUCCUGGGCCAGGUUAAUCCGCCCAGGGUGAGUCGGGACCUAAGACGAGGCCGACAGGCGUAGCCGAUGGACAACGGGUUGAUAUUCCCGUACCCGUGUGAUCGCGCCCAUGGUGAAUCAGUGAUACUAACCGCCCUGAAUCUGCGUGACUGAUCUCUUUCGAGAGUGAGGCGUGUGGUGGAUGCGUGGGACCUGAUCUGGUAGUAGCCAAGCGAUGGGGUGACGCAGGAAGGUAGCUGGGCCAGUGAGUGGUUGUACUGGUGUAAGCCUGUAGGGCGAACGGUAGGCAAAUCCGCCGUUCACUUGAAGCCUGAGAGGUGAUGCGUAGCCGAUUGAGGCGAAUUCAGUGAUCCUAUGCUGCCGAGAAAAGCCUCUAGCGAGCUGUCACACGGCCCGUACCCCAAACCGACACAGGUGGUCAGGUAGAGAAUACCAAGGCGUACGAGUGAACUAUGGUUAAGGAACUCGGCAAAAUGCCCCCGUAACUUCGGGAGAAGGGGGACCCCCGUACCGUCAACACCCUUGCGGUGGGCAGCGGUGGGGGGUGGCACAAACCAGUGAGAAGCGACUGUUUACUAAAAACACAGGUCCGUGCGAAGUCGCAAGACGAUGUAUACGGACUGACGCCUGCCCGGUGCUGGAAGGUUAAGAGGACCCGUUAACCCCUCGGGGUGAAGCGGAGAAUUUAAGCCCCAGUAAACGGCGGUGGUAACUAUAACCAUCCUAAGGUAGCGAAAUUCCUUGUCGGGUAAGUUCCGA